This 663-nucleotide ribosomal RNA is filed under the name uncultured bacterium. Its description in RNAcentral is "bacterial SSU rRNA". It matches the Rfam family "Bacterial small subunit ribosomal RNA", at positions 173 to 827 of the family's 1533-position model. The record is from RNAcentral.
CCAUAGUUACCGCAUGGUAACUAUGUAAAAGGUGGCUAUGCUACCGCUUUUGGAUGGGCCCGCGACGCAUUAGCUAGUUGGUGGGGUAAAGGCUUACCAAGGCAAUGAUGCGUAGCCGAACUGAGAGGUUGAUCGGCCACAUUGGGACUGAGACACGGCCCAAACUCCUACGGGAGGCAGCAGUAGGGAAUCUUCCACAAUGGGCGAAAGCCUGAUGGAGCAACGCCGCGUGGGUGAAGAAGGUCUUCGGAUCGUAAAACCCUGUUGUUAGAGAAGAAAGUGCGUGAGAGUAACUGUUCACGUUUCGACGGUAUCUAACCAGAAAGCCACGGCUAACUACGUGCCAGCAGCCGCGGUAAUACGUAGGUGGCAAGCGUUAUCCGGAUUUAUUGGGCGUAAAGAGAACGCAGGCGGUCUUUUAAGUCUGAUGUGAAAGCCUUCGGCUUAACCGGAGUAGUGCAUUGGAAACUGGGAGACUUGAGUGCAGAAGAGGAGAGUGGAACUCCAUGUGUAGCGGUGAAAUGCGUAGAUAUAUGGAAGAACACCAGUGGCGAAAGCGGCUCUCUGGUCUGUAACUGACGCUGAGGUUCGAAAGCGUGGGUAGCAAACAGGAUUAGAUACCCUGGUAGUCCACGCCGUAAACGAUCCAUGAUAGGUGUUGGA